GACGAACGCUGGCGGCGUGCUUAACACAUGCAAGUCGAACGGAAAGGCCCUGCUUUUGUGGGGUGCUCGAGUGGCGAACGGGUGAGUAACACGUGAGUAACCUGCCCUUGACUUUGGGAUAACUUCAGGUAACUGGGGCUAAUACCGGAUCGGAGCUCCUGCUGCAUGGUGGGGGUUGGAAAGUUUCGGCGUUUGGGGAUGGACUCGCGGCUUAUCAGCUUGUUGGUGGGGUGGUGGCUUACCAAGGCUUUGACGGGUAGCCGGCCUGAGAGGGUGACCGGCCACAUUGGGACUGAGAUAAGGCCCAGACUCCUACGGGAGGCAGCAGGGGGGAAUAUUGCACAAUGGGCGGAAGCCUGAUGCAGAAACGCCGCGUGCGGGAUGACGGCCUUCGGGUUGUAAAACGCUUUCGCCUGUGACGAAGCGUGAGUGACGGUAAUGGGUAAAGAAGCACCGGCUAACUACGUG
RNAcentral lists this ribosomal RNA (468 nucleotides) under uncultured bacterium. RNAcentral describes it as "partial 16S ribosomal RNA". It matches the Rfam family "Bacterial small subunit ribosomal RNA", at positions 28 to 507 of the family's 1533-position model. The record is from RNAcentral.